AAUGCAAACUCUGACCUCUUCCAUCUCUACAUAUGUGUUGCAGAGUGAAGGACAGACACUAAAUCACUGACAUACACACUGUAGACUGGACAGAGACAACUGGCUUUCACAAUGAUCAGACCUGAUUAUCUGGUGGUUUUUCUCAUCCUGUCAUUUAACUCUGCAGGUACUGAGGGUCAAACACUGACUGAGUCUGAACCAGCGGUUAAAAAGCCUGGAGAGUCCCACAGACUGACCUGCACAUAUUCAGGGUUUAGUGGUAAUAUUGAUACUGCUUGGAUCAGACAGGGUGCUGGAAAAGGACUGGAGUGGAUCGCUUAUAUCAGCAGUGGCAGUAGCUACAUCUACUACUCUGAGUCAGUGAAAGGCCGGUUCACCAUCUCCAGAGACAACAACAGACAGCAGGUGUAUCUGCAGAUGAACAGUCUGAAGGCCGAGGACACAGCAGUGUAUUACUGUGCAAGAAGAGACACAGUGUUGAUGAUCAGACAGGCUCCUGGGAAAGGACUGGAGUGGAUCGCUUUGUUCGACACUGGUAUCACCCCGUACUACUCUGAGUCAUUUAAAGGCCGGUUCACCAUCUCCAGAGACAACAGCAGACAGCAGGUGUAUCUGCAGAUGAACAGUCUGAAGGCCGAGGACACAGCAGUGUAUUACUGUGCCAGAGACACACAGUGA
Molecule: non-coding RNA, 678 nt
Organism: Trematomus bernacchii (emerald rockcod)
Lineage: Eukaryota; Metazoa; Chordata; Actinopteri; Perciformes; Nototheniidae
Source: the annotation of a RefSeq genome assembly